GACGAACGCUGGCGGCGUGCCUAAUACAUGCAAGUUGAGCGAUGAAGAUUGGUGCUUGCACCAAUUUGAAGAGCAGCGAACGGGUGAGUAACGCGUGGGGAAUCUGCCUUUGAGCGGGGGACAACAUUUGGAAACGAAUGCUAAUACCGCAUAACAACUUUAAACAUAAGUUUUAAGUUUGAAAGAUGCAAUUGCAUCACUCAAAGAUGAUCCCGCGUUGUAUUAGCUAGUUGGUGAGGUAAAGGCUCACCAAGGCGAUGAUACAUAGCCGACCUGAGAGGGUGAUCGGCAACAUUGGGACUGAGACACGGCCCAAACGCCUACGGGAGGCAGCAGUAGGGAAUCUUCGGCAAUGGACGAAAGUCUGACCGAGCAACGCCGCGUGAGUGAAGAAGGUUUUCGGAUCGUAAAACUCUGUUGGUAGAGAAGAACGUUGGUGAGAGUGGAAAGCUCAUCAAGUGACGGUAACUACCCAGAAAGGGACGGCUAACUACGUG
RNAcentral lists this ribosomal RNA (497 nucleotides) under uncultured bacterium. RNAcentral describes it as "partial 16S ribosomal RNA". It matches the Rfam family "Bacterial small subunit ribosomal RNA", at positions 28 to 507 of the family's 1533-position model. The record is from RNAcentral.